Long non-coding RNA from Lactuca sativa (garden lettuce), 1040 nucleotides. RefSeq lists it as uncharacterized. Lineage: Eukaryota; Viridiplantae; Streptophyta; Magnoliopsida; Asterales; Asteraceae. The record is from RefSeq and is a predicted model, not a curated record.
CACAAGUACAACUCAGAUCUAGUUUAGUUUUUGAAAGAUUCUUAAGGGGCUGAAAUUUAGUUUUUCAAAGUUUAGGGGAAAGCAAAGAACUUUUGUUGCCGUUAAAGACCAAAUCAAUCUACAAAUCAGAUCUACAAUUGCCCCAAAUCGGAUUGAGUUUGUAGAAUUCACUAAUUCGAUUCACGGGGUCGAAGAAAUUGAUUCAGUGUAUUAUCAGAUUCCAUGCUUCUUGAAAUUAUCUUUUGUUUAUCCUUCACAAAAGGCGCCAUUAGAACAGGUACUCUCCAAACGAUGGAAACAUCAUUGGACUGAGGUUCUACUCUAAUUUUCGAACAUCUGAUGAUAAUCACGAUGUCAUUUCGUUAUUAGUGUACCUGUUCUAAUGGCGUCUUUUGUGGAGGAUAGUGAUGGUAAUCGCAAUUUCGUUUCAUGAAGCACAAUAGAUUCAAUGUGUAUAUCGGUUAUGAUAUUUGAUUUGAAUCACAACUCAACGAUUGAAUUCGUUAUGCUAUAAGUUAUAACGCUGAAGGAGCUUAAUUUAACGUUAUGUAAUACUGAAUCCAAAGCAGAGUUUCUGUUAGAUCAAUCUUUUUUUGUAAACUUUUAGAUUGAAUGAUUGUUGUGGCUAUAGACGGAUUGAUAUUGCUUCAAAUAGCGUUAAGAACCAGAUAUUAUCUGGAUACAUGGUUUCAUGUGAUGAAUCUGAAGCUCAUAGAUUAUAUAGAAACAGCGAGACAACGCUUAAAGAAGCAAAGGAAGAGCUUGAAAUUGGGGUUUCUGUUAUAAGUGAACUACUAUCGAAUGCAUGCAUGUAAUUGGAGCUGCAUGUAAAAAUCCGAAGCUUGCUUUAUGGAGAGUUUAGCCGAUUGUGAUGGUCUUGAUGGAGGCGGCGUGACAAUGAAAGAAUAUGGAGGCGGCGAAACAAAGAUUUAGGGUUAGGUUAUCACAGUUCAAAAGGUUAUAUGGAUUAUACUUUACUUUAAGUGUAAAUUCAUUUUUGUCCCUCUACUUUACAAAUAUUAUUAAAACAUAUUUAUUUA